AUGAACGCUGGCGGCGUGCUUAACACAUGCAAGUCGAACGGACCUUCGGGUUAGUGGCGGACGGGUGAGUAACGCGUGAGAAUCUGCCCUCAGGAGGGGGAUAACAGCUGGAAACGGCUGCUAAUACCCCAUAUGCCGCGAGGUGAAAUGAAUUUCGCCUGAGGAUGAGCUCGCGUCUGAUUAGCUAGUUGGUGUAGGUAAUGGCUCACCAAGGCAUCGAUCAGUAGCUGGUCUGAGAGGAUGAUCAGCCACACUGGGACUGAGACACGGCCCAGACUCCUACGGGAGGCAGCAGUGGGGAAUUUUCCGCAAUGGGCGAAAGCCUGACGGAGCAACGCCGCGUGAGGGAUGAAGGCCUCUGGGCUGUAAACCUCUUUUAUCAAGGAAGAAGAUCUGACGGUACUUGAUGAAUAAGCCACGGCUAAUUCCGUGCCAGCAGCCGCGGUAAUACGGGAGUGGCAAGCGUUAUCCGGAAUUAUUGGGCGUAAAGCGUCCGCAGGCGGCCCUUCAAGUCUGCUGUUAAAAAGUGGAGCUUAACUCCAUCAUGGCAGUGGAAACUGAGGGGCUUGAGUGUGGUAGGGGCAGAGGGAAUUCCCGGUGUAGCGGUGAAAUGCGUAGAUAUCGGGAAGAACACCAGUGGCGAAGGCGCUCUGCUGGGCCAUCACUGACGCUCAUGGACGAAAGCCAGGGGAGCGAAAGGGAUUAGAUACCCCUGUAGUCCUGGCCGUAAACGAUGAACACUAGGUGUCGGGGGAAUCGACCCCCUCGGUGUCGUAGCCAACGCGUUAAGUGUUCCGCCUGGGGAGUACGCACGCAAGUGUGAAACUCAAAGGAAUUGACGGGGGCCCGCACAAGCGGUGGAGUAUGUGGUUUAAUUCGAUGCAACGCGAAGAACCUUACCAGGGUUUGACAUCCUGCGAAUCUCUUGGAAACGAGAGAGUGCCUUCGGGAACGCAGUGACAGGUGGUGCAUGGCUGUCGUCAGCUCGUGUCGUGAGAUGUUGGGUUAAGUCCCGCAACGAGCGCAACCCACGUCUUUAGUUGCCAGCAUUUAGUUGGGCACUCUAGAGAGACCGCCGGUGAUAAACCGGAGGAAGGUGUGGAUGACGUCAAGUCAUCAUGCCCCUUACAUCCUGGGCUACACACGUACUACAAUGCUACGGACAAAGGGCAGCAAGUUCGCGAGGACAAGCAAAUCCCAUAAACCGUGGCUCAGUUCAGAUCGCAGGCUGCAACUCGCCUACGUGAAGGAGGAAUCGCUAGUAAUCGCAGGUCAGCAUACUGCGGUGAAUACGUUCCCGGGCCUUGUACACACCGCCCGUCAAGGGCG
RNAcentral lists this ribosomal RNA (1329 nucleotides) under uncultured cyanobacterium. RNAcentral describes it as "bacterial SSU rRNA". It matches the Rfam family "Bacterial small subunit ribosomal RNA", at positions 29 to 1405 of the family's 1533-position model. Lineage: Bacteria; Bacillati; Cyanobacteriota. The record is from RNAcentral.